UUUAUAUUUACUUAAUAUUGUGACUAUAUUGCUGUUGGUGUUUCAUUGGAUUGAUUAAAAAUUCUCCUAAUUGAAAUUCAGAAUACUCUUACAUAGGCCCUCGUACAAAGAGAGACUUUCUUCCCAGUCCUCACUCACUCACUCUUAUUUCUUCUAAUUGUUAUCUUACAUUUAACACACUAUUUUGUCUAUGGGAGAGGUUGGACUUUAUUUCCCAUUUCAGUUGUUUAUUUCAAGCCAGCGGUUUAAUUGUUUUGCACAUAAAACUGUUACAUCAUGCCUCUUUGUGCUUACUGGGUAGGGAGUCCAUGUCUAUUACCCAUAAUGCGGGGAAGCCUUUUACUUUUAUUCAAUUUAGUAUUAGUUACUGUUUCAUCUCUCCAUUCACAUGCUGGCAUUUUACCAGCCUUUACAAGUUUCUGAACUUUACUUUAUAUUUUCCCCUUCUCUGUUCAACCCAUUUUCUUAGUUUUUGGGUUAACAGAACACCAGAUUGGUUUGAUUCUGAUGCCUAGAAUUUCUCUUAAGCCAUUUUAUGAUAAUUUGCCAGUAAUUAUUCCAUUCAUGACCUUUUUUCAUUAGCAAUUUCAUUUCUUUCUUAGUGCUUUUUUUAAAGUGUGCUGUCAAAAUCGGUUGUCACGUUCCAGUUUUUGGGGUUUGCCUCAGAUUAGCUCAGUAACCUCAGCAUCUGGGUAAGCUAGCCUGACCAAUGCUUUCAACAUUAGUUUGCCUUUUAAAUGUUAUAGGGGCUUCUUCUUCAUAGUAAUUUCAAGUUGUUUGCAAACAUCUCAUCAUUUGUGCACAUCUUUAAUACAGUUAAUUUGUUUAAGAAAAUCUUUGUUCUUGUAUUAGUUAAGUCCAUUAUAUAUCUGUUCCAAAGUCUCAUGAAAUAGUUUCUGUAUGGACAAGGUCUUCCAAAGAUUUAGUGCUCUUUUGUCAGUAUGUGGCUUUCUUUACUGUUUAAAUUUGUUUUACAUAGGAACUUUGUUUUUGUUGUACCUUAACCGUUUUAAUUGUAGGACGUGUUACAUUAAAUGUUGUCCCCGUUUUUAAAGAUGUGAUUCGAGCUAUCAGUGCCGUCUUUUAUAGACAGAAAGAGAUUUGUUUUUCUAUAUAUCCAGACGUUUUGCCACAUUGGGAUUCUUCAAUGGUUUUUUUCAAAAUGGAGUCCUUUCCCCUUAUCCCUGAGUGUUGCUUUAAAAGGGCCAUCUGUCCUUACACAAGUAUCAGGACUCUUCUUAAGGUCACUGUUUUAUUGAGUUUUUUGUGGUGGCGAUCUGCGCCACCACCACGACCGA
Polypterus senegalus (gray bichir) is the source of this 1298-nucleotide long non-coding RNA. RefSeq lists it as uncharacterized. The record is from RefSeq and is a predicted model, not a curated record. NCBI's taxonomy places the organism in Eukaryota, Metazoa, Chordata, Cladistia, Polypteriformes, Polypteridae. The transcript is spliced from 3 exons.